This 303-nucleotide ribosomal RNA is filed under the name uncultured bacterium. Its description in RNAcentral is "partial 16S ribosomal RNA". It matches the Rfam family "Bacterial small subunit ribosomal RNA", at positions 507 to 807 of the family's 1533-position model. The record is from RNAcentral.
AGCAGUCGCCGCGGUAAUACGGAGGGAGCUAGCGUUAUUCGGAAUUACUGGGCGUAAAGCGCACGUAGGCGGCUUUGUAAGUUAGAGGUGAAAGCCUGGAGCUCAACUCCAGAAUUGCCUUUAAGACCGCAUCGCUUGAAUCCAGGAGAGGUGAGUGGAAUUCCGAGUGUAGAGGUGAAAUUCGUAGAUAUUCGGAAGAACACCAGUGGCGAAGGCGGCUCACUGGACUGGUAUUGACGCUGAGGUGCGAAAGCGUGGGUAGCAAACAGGAUUAGAGACCCCAGUAGUCCCUGUCUCUUAUAC